This 658-nucleotide ribosomal RNA is filed under the name Microbacterium sp. 21N-37. RNAcentral's name for it is "bacterial SSU rRNA". It matches the Rfam family "Bacterial small subunit ribosomal RNA", at positions 98 to 770 of the family's 1533-position model. The record is from RNAcentral. Lineage: Bacteria; Bacillati; Actinomycetota; Actinomycetes; Micrococcales; Microbacteriaceae.
GCGAACGGGUGAGUAACACGUGAGCAACCUGCCCUGGACUCUGGGAUAAGCGCUGGAAACGGCGUCUAAUACUGGAUAUGAGCCUCUUCCGCAUGGUGGGGGUUGGAAAGAUUUUUUGGUCUGGGAUGGGCUCGCGGCCUAUCAGCUUGUUGGUGAGGUAAUGGCUCACCAAGGCGUCGACGGGUAGCCGGCCUGAGAGGGUGACCGGCCACACUGGGACUGAGACACGGCCCAGACUCCUACGGGAGGCAGCAGUGGGGAAUAUUGCACAAUGGGCGGAAGCCUGAUGCAGCAACGCCGCGUGAGGGAUGACGGCCUUCGGGUUGUAAACCUCUUUUAGCAGGGAAGAAGCGAAAGUGACGGUACCUGCAGAAAAAGCGCCGGCUAACUACGUGCCAGCAGCCGCGGUAAUACGUAGGGCGCAAGCGUUAUCCGGAAUUAUUGGGCGUAAAGAGCUCGUAGGCGGUUUGUCGCGUCUGCUGUGAAAUCCCGAGGCUCAACCUCGGGCCUGCAGUGGGUACGGGCAGACUAGAGUGCGGUAGGGGAGAUUGGAAUUCCUGGUGUAGCGGUGGAAUGCGCAGAUAUCAGGAGGAACACCGAUGGCGAAGGCAGAUCUCUGGGCCGUAACUGACGCUGAGGAGCGAAAGGGUGGGGAGCA